This 467-nucleotide ribosomal RNA is filed under the name uncultured bacterium. RNAcentral describes it as "bacterial SSU rRNA". It matches the Rfam family "Bacterial small subunit ribosomal RNA", at positions 28 to 507 of the family's 1533-position model. The record is from RNAcentral.
GACGAACGCUGGCGGCGUGCUUAAAAACAUGCAAGUCGAACGGACUUCUCAUGAAGCUUGCGAUUGAGAAGUUAGUGGCGGACGGGUGAGUAACGCGUGGGCAACCUGCCCCUGAGCCCGGGAUAACAGUUCGAAAGGACUGCUAAGACCGGAUAUACUUGCGGUGAAGCAUUUCACUGCAAGGAAAGGGAACGCUCAGGGAUGGGCCCGCGUCCCAUUAGCUAGUUGGUGAGGUAACGGCCCACCAAGGCGACGAUGGGUAGCCGGCCUGAGAGGGUGAACGGCCACACUGGGGACUGAGACACGGCCCAGACUCCUACGGGAGGCAGCAGUUGGGAAUCUUCGGCAAUGAGCGCAAGCCUGACCGAGCAACGCCGCGUGAGUGAUGAAGGUUUUCGGAUUGUAAAGCUCUGUCUUCCGGGACGAUAAUGACGGUACCGGAGGAGGAAGCCACGGCUAACUACGUG